UAACAUGGAGCUGGCUAGGACAUCUGUCACCCCAUUGCUCACGGGGAUUGAUUCACCUGAUCUGGCUGACGAGGCAGGUGUACCCUUCCUCUCCGACCACUCCUGGUACAUUCUUCCUCAAGCUGCUCACAUACAUGGUCAAGGAGGACUCCACCCCCACCCACCCCCCACUCUGGAGAGUGAAUAGAGGAAGGCCAAUGAGUGGAGUAACUGAGCUCCCCUGCUAGGACCUCCAAACAGGUUCUCAAAAAUUAGUAACACAAAUCACUUCAUUUAAUCACCUAGAUCCUGAAUUUCUAUGGAACCAGGAGGGGAUUAUUCAGAUUUUU
Molecule: small nuclear RNA, 329 nt
Filed under: Mus spretus (western wild mouse)
Lineage: Eukaryota; Metazoa; Chordata; Mammalia; Rodentia; Muridae
Description: predicted gene, 55320 (ENSMSPG00010018217.1)
Rfam family: 7SK RNA
About the family: 7SK was discovered as an abundant small nuclear RNA in the mid-70s but a possible function has only recently been suggested. Two independent studies have found that 7SK RNA binds the CDK9/cyclin T complex (known as elongation factor P-TEFb).
Source: RNAcentral